Molecule: ribosomal RNA, 468 nt
Filed under: uncultured bacterium
Lineage: Bacteria
Description: partial 16S ribosomal RNA
Rfam family: Bacterial small subunit ribosomal RNA
Source: RNAcentral
GACGAACGCUGGCGGCGUGCUUAACACAUGCAAGUCGAACGGAAAGGCCCUGCUUUUGUGGGGUGCUCGAGUGGCGAACGGGUGAGUAACACGUGAGUAACCUGCCCUUGACUUUGGGAUAACUUCAGGAAACUGGGGCUAAUACCGGAUAGGAGCUCCUGCUGCAUGGGGGGGGUUGGAAAGUUUCGGCGGUUGGGGCUGGACUCGCGGCUUAUCAGCUUGUUGGUGGGGUAGUGGCUUACCAAGGCUUUGACGGGUAGCCGGCCUGAGAGGGUGACCGGCCACAGUGGGACUGAGAUACGGCACAGACUCCUACGGGAGGCAGCAGGGGGGAAUCUUGCACAAUGGGCGGAAGUCUGAUGCAGCAACGCCGCGUGCGGGAUGACGGCCUUCGGGUUGUAAACCGCUUUCGCCUGUGACGAAGCGUGAGUGACGGUAAUGGGUAAAGAAGCACCGGCUAACUACGUG